AUUGAACGCUGGCGGCAGGCUUAACACAUGCAAGUCGAGCGGGGGAAGGUAGCUUGCUACCGGACCUAGCGGCGGACGGGUGAGUAAUGCUUAGGAAUCUGCCUAUUAGUGGGGGUCAACAUCUCGAAAGGGAUGCUAAUACCGCAUACGUCCUACGGGAGAAAGCAGGGGAUCUUCGGACCUUGCGCUAAUAGAUGAGCCUAAGUCGGAUUAGCUAGUUGGUGGGGUAAAGGCCUACCAAGGCGACGAUCUGUAGCGGGUCUGAGAGGAUGAUCCGCCACACUGGGACUGAGACACGGCCCAGACUCCUACGGGAGGCAGCAGUGGGGAAUAUUGGACAAUGGGGGGAACCCUGAUCCAGCCAUGCCGCGUGUGUGAAGAAGGCCUUAUGGUUGUAAAGCACUUUAAGCGAGGAGGAGGCUGCUCUAGUUAAUACCUAGGGAUAGUGGACGUUACUCGCAGAAUAAGCACCGGCUAACUCUGUGCCAGCAGCCGCAGUAA
This 501-nucleotide ribosomal RNA is filed under the name uncultured bacterium. RNAcentral describes it as "partial 16S ribosomal RNA". It matches the Rfam family "Bacterial small subunit ribosomal RNA", at positions 30 to 523 of the family's 1533-position model. The record is from RNAcentral.